CUCAGUUCGGAUUGGAGCUGCAACCCGACUCCAUGAAGCUGGAUUCGCUAGUAAUCGCGCAUCAGCCACGGCGCGGUGAAUACGUUCCCGGGCCUUGUACACACCGCCCGUCAAGCCAUGGAAGCCGGGAGUGCCUGAAGUGCGUGAGCGCAAGCAGCGCCCUAAGGUAAAACCGGUGACUGGGGCUAAGUCGUAACAAGGUAAC
Molecule: ribosomal RNA, 205 nt
Filed under: uncultured bacterium
Lineage: Bacteria
Description: partial 16S ribosomal RNA
Rfam family: Bacterial small subunit ribosomal RNA
Source: RNAcentral